RNAcentral lists this ribosomal RNA (1478 nucleotides) under uncultured Anaerovorax sp. Its description in RNAcentral is "partial 16S ribosomal RNA". It matches the Rfam family "Bacterial small subunit ribosomal RNA". Lineage: Bacteria; Bacillati; Bacillota; Clostridia; Peptostreptococcales; Anaerovoracaceae. The record is from RNAcentral.
AGAGUUUGAUCAUGGCUCAGGAUGAACGCUUGCGGCGUGCUUAACACAUGCAAGUCGAGCGGUAUAUGGUGGAAUGAAACUUCGGUCGAGUGAAGCCAUAGAGAGCGGCGGACGGGUGCGUAACACGUAUGCAACCUACCCCAUACAGACGGAUAGCCUCGGGAAAUCUGAAUUAAUACGUCAUAACGCGAGGAGUUCGCAUGGGAAUAUCGCUAAAGAGCAAUCGGUAUGGGAUGGGCAUGCGCCCCAUUAGAUAGUUGGGGUGGUAACGGCACACCAAGUCGAUGAUGGGUAGGGGGCCUGAGAGGGUAAUCCCCCACACUGGUACUGAGACACGGACCAGACUCCUACGGGAGGCAGCAGUGAGGAAUAUUGGUCAAUGGACGGAAGUCUGAACCAGCCAUGCCGCGUGAGCGAAGAAGUCCUAUGGAUUGUAAAGCUCUUUUGUUGGGAAAGAAACAAAUGAAGGUACCCUUGGAAUAAGGAUCGGCUAACUCCGUGCCAGCAGCCGCGGUAAUACGGAGGAUCCGAGCGUUAUCCGGAUUUAUUGGGUUUAAAGGGUGCGUAGGCGGCCAUGUAAGCGCGUGGUGAAAUUCCAUAGCUUAACUAUGGUAUGCCUUGCGAACUGUGUGGCUUGAGUACAGGAGUGGAAAGCGGAAUUCCUAGUGUAGCGGUGAAAUGCGUAGAUAUUAGUAGGAACACCAGUCGCGAAGGCGACUCACUAAACUGUAACUGACGCUGAAGCACGAAAGCGUGGGGAUCAAACAGGAUUAGAUACCCUGGUAGUCCACGCCGUAAACGAUGAGCACUAGGUGUCGGGGUUUAAAGACUUCGGUGCCGCAGUUAACGCAUUAAGUGCUCCGCCUGGGGAGUACGUACGCAAGUAUAAAACUCAAAGGAAUUGACGGGGACCCGCACAAGCAGCGGAGCAUGUGGUUUAAUUCGAAGCAACGCGAAGAACCUUACCAGGGCUUGACAUCCCUCUGACAGACCCUUAAUCGGGACCUCCUUCGGACAGAGGAGACAGGUGGUGCAUGGUUGUCGUCAGCUCGUGUCGUGAGAUGUUGGGUUAAGUCCCGCAACGAGCGCAACCCUUGUCAUUAGUUGCCAUCAUUAAGUUGGGCACUCUAGAGAGACCGCCGGGGAUAACUCGGAGGAAGGUGGGGAUGACGUCAAAUCAUCAUGCCCCUUAUGUCCUGGGCUACACACGUGCUACAAUGGCUGGUACAACGAGAAGCAAGUCCGCGAGGCGGAGCGAAUCUUUCAAACCAGUCCCAGUUCGGAUUGCAGGCUGAAACCCGCCUGCAUGAAGUCGGAGUUGCUAGUAAUCGCAGAUCAGCAUGCUGCGGUGAAUGCGUUCCCGGGUCUUGUACACACCGCCCGUCACACCAUGGAAGUUGGGGGCGCCCGAAGUUGGUCGGUAAAUAGAUACCUAAGGCGAAAUCAAUGACUGGGGUGAAGUCGUAACAAGGUAACCA